This 731-nucleotide long non-coding RNA is filed under the name Pan troglodytes (chimpanzee). Its description in RNAcentral is "lincRNA". Lineage: Eukaryota; Metazoa; Chordata; Mammalia; Primates; Hominidae. The record is from RNAcentral.
CAGCCUGUGGCCAAUCGCAACGCCGGAAGGAGCUGAUAGACACGGAGGUUGCUCUGCUCGGAAGAGACCGAGCCCCAGGGCCGCCGUGCCCUCUGGGCGGUUGUGAGGCUGUGCAGCCUGCGGCUUCUGCCCUCUUUCUUUCCCUGACUGGUUGGGUCUGGUCUCCGAGGCCUGUAGCCCGCCUUUUCCGCAUAGGCAUGUGACCAGGGUCUCCCGCGGAGUUUUGCUGAGAAUUUUGGAAAUGAAGCAUGUGGAGCGCCUGUGUCGGGGAAGAGAGGCCGAGCUGAAGGAGCACGGGCGCCGGCCUCGGCCUCUGGGGAGCCGGGCCCGCUCGCCUCCCUGCGCGGGGCUAGCCCGAGCCUGGAACUCGGGAGGCCCAGGAGCGAAGUGAAAGCCCCUUCUGGUCCCCCAGGGCUCCACUCCCGCAGCAGCCCGGCUCCGUCGGCGUCAGUGGAGCCCCAGGCCUGGGUCCGAGAUGAGCGAGACGCUGCUCUGGCUCGCGGUCGCCCGAGCGCUCCCAAAACCAGGGAACAGGCCCCAGGAGAGAAGCCCCUAGAAGUUUCCUGGAGCAGGGAGUCUCCUGUAUCCUGUUAGCUCUGCAAAGGAAUCUGGACUUUAUUCUGAGGGCCUUGGAGAACCCCUGCAAAGUUUUUUAAAAGGUGGGCUAAGAGAUUGGCAUUUCACAACAUGACUCUCCGAAUUGAAACACUAAUAAGAGAAGAUUGGCGAAA